AUCAGCUUGGCCUGCCAUUGUCUGGAGGUGACAGGACGUGGCCUCUCUAACCGAUGGGUUUACAGGAGUAUCCCAGCCAGUCUCUGCCCUGUGACUGUCCCUCCGAGACGACAGUGGAUCAAGGACUCCUGUCCUUGUCUCUCCAGGUAACCUGUUCCUCCAGGCUGUGCACUGGAAUGACAUCAUUUCUAUCUCAUCCCUAGGUCCAAUACUAGAUUACUCUGUGGGUUUUCAGUUAUAAUACUGAAAAGUAUAAUCACUUCACAGUUCUCUACUUCCUAGGAUAAAUUGGGGUUCACUUCAAAGUUGUUUAUAAAUGAUUCAUACUCUACUUUUG
RNAcentral lists this long non-coding RNA (337 nucleotides) under Mus caroli (Ryukyu mouse). RNAcentral's name for it is "predicted gene 42812 (MGP_CAROLIEiJ_G0005666.1)". The record is from RNAcentral. Lineage: Eukaryota; Metazoa; Chordata; Mammalia; Rodentia; Muridae.